UCAGCAUCCUUUAAUGAGUGUUAUCUUUCUAGCAGGAUCAUAAACUCAAUAUUUUUAUAUUUUUAUUUUAUAAAAUAGAAACAUAUUUAUUUUAUUUUUAUGCCACCACAGCGAAUAUACUUAUGGGUUUUAUGCCACAAGUGUAUUCACAUAGGACUUAGCAUUUUUAAACAAUUUUUUAUUUUUUGUUUAAGACAACAUAAACAAGAUUAUACUAUUUAGGGAAAGUAAAUAAUUAAGAGGAAAGGGAUAACUAUCAAGUGUUACCUCUUGGCAGGUGUUCGGUGGUUUAAGUCCUCCGAACGGGACUCCUUAUGUCCUUAGUUGUCCUAGGGCUCAUCGGAUGGCAUAGCUGGCACCUCCGGUUGUGCCUCCUCUUCUGCUAUGAUCUCUUUCUCCUCCCAUACUUAUGUUGUGGGGUAUUUAUUUUUGUAUCUCGACACUUUUCCUUCAUAGUCCGCCUAUUCGUCCUUGGUGUUCUAUUUCUUCUAAUUGUGGUAGCGACGUCUUCUUCUUGUUCUGUUCUGCUUAGAUCAAUCAACAAUAUAGUUAUCAUUAAAGUGACGACGUACCUUCUCAGAGGGGAAGUGUAUGUGCACUUCUCCUGUCGUGAUGUAGAUGAUAGCUUUAGUAGUACUUAGGAAUGGUCUUCCAAGGAUGAUAGGUGGAUCAUAAUCAUCUUCUCCCAUGUCAAUGACUAAGAAGUCUAUCGAGAUGAAGUGGUCAUCGAUCUAGAUGGGGACAUUUUUGCUAUACCUUUGACUUAGUAUGUCUGAUCUACCAUUUGGAGUUGGGUGUAUGUUGGAUAUAGAGGCAUUGUUCCGUAUAGAAACACAUAUGUCAAUUUGGCCAUAAUGUUGACGCCCGAUUGGUGUCACAGACUACCUUCUGAAAGGAGCAUCUGUUGAUUGUACAUUCAAUUGUUGGGACACUAGGGUCGUCCUUCUUGAUCAAAUGAGGGGAUUUGAGCUGGUGAUCU
This 979-nucleotide long non-coding RNA is filed under the name Sorghum bicolor (sorghum). RNAcentral's name for it is "long non-coding RNA (SBIC_LNC012094)". Lineage: Eukaryota; Viridiplantae; Streptophyta; Magnoliopsida; Poales; Poaceae. The record is from RNAcentral.